CCUACGGGAGGCAGCAGUGAGGAAUAUUGGUCAAUGGGCGCGAGCCUGAACCAGCCAAGUAGCGUGAAGGAUGACUGCCCUACGGGUUGUAAACUUCUUUUAUAAAGGAAUAAAGUGAGGCACGGGUGCCUUUUUGUAUGUACUUUAUGAAUAAGGAUCGGCUAACUCCGUUCCAUUAGCCGCGGUAAUACGGAGGAUCCGAGCGUUAUCCGGAUUUAUUGGGUUUAAAGGGAGCGUAGAUGGGUUGGUAAGUCAGUUGUGAAAGUCUGCGGCUCAACCGUAAAAUUGCAAUUGAUACUGGCAGACUUGAGUACAGUAGAGGUAGGCGGAAUUCGAGGUGAAGCGGUGAAAUGCGUAGAUAUCACGAAGAACACCGAUUGCGAAGGCAGCCUACUAAACUGCCACUGACAUUGAGGCUCGAAAGUGUGGGUAUCAAACAGGAUUAGAUACCCCAGUAGUC
RNAcentral lists this ribosomal RNA (460 nucleotides) under uncultured bacterium. RNAcentral's name for it is "partial 16S ribosomal RNA". It matches the Rfam family "Bacterial small subunit ribosomal RNA", at positions 338 to 795 of the family's 1533-position model. The record is from RNAcentral.